AUCUUGACCAAUGACCAUCUUUAUUUCAAUAACCCAUUUAUAUAUAACCCAAAGCCUCCCAUUUCUGCCUCACCUAAACCACAUGAUGAGGAUAUCCUUACUGUUCUCUCUUUUCCUCCUUGCUCUUGCCUCAGCUGAGUUUGGACCUUCAAUGGGUAUAAAAGGUGGAAAUGCAGCAAGGAUCCCAGAACAUACAUGUCAUAAAGUUAUAGAGACAAACACAUGUGAGUUGCAGAAAUGCAUCCACGAAUGUUCCAAGGAACCUGCUGGUGUCGGGGACUGCACAGAUCACAAUGUUUGUUAUUGCACUUUUUAUUGUAAGGAUCCCCCUCUGUGAUUCAUUCAUAUCCCUUUCAACACUUUGAAUUUGUUCUUCUUUUUUUUCUUAGAUCUAGAAAUUGAUAGCAAUGGACCCCUUUCCUGUUUUCCUUGUCUUCUAUGUUUCUUAUGACAGAUAAUUAACGAUGUUUCACCGGUUGUCCAA
Molecule: long non-coding RNA, 484 nt
Organism: Gossypium arboreum
Lineage: Eukaryota; Viridiplantae; Streptophyta; Magnoliopsida; Malvales; Malvaceae
Exons: 2
Source: RefSeq, a predicted model, not a curated record